GGACACUUUUAUAUUAGUACGGGAACUUAUUGGGUUUACGAAUUGGAGGGGCAUUGUUGUAAAAUCAAGCUGGUGUGGUGGUCUCUUAGGUUUCCCGCAUCCUUCUCUGUUCACAAUUCUUCGCCUGCCGCUACUUCCGGUUAAAAAGAAACCUUCCUCCCCUUGAUUUUGAUGGGAAUUAAUUUGCAUUUACUGGCUUGCUGCGUGCUUGCGGAGCCCUAAUCCUCUCUGAUAUUGUUCUCCUUUGGCUUUUUGCCUUACAGGUGACGUGCUGCAAUGGCCGAUUUUGUUCCACUAAGUACUCGUUUGGGACCUAUUCCUACAGUGGCGCUCUGCUAUACUGCUGCCAUCUUCUUGAACGCUGGGGAGAAACUUGUGACAAUGAAGUGGAAGGAGUGGAAGGAAGCCAAAAG
Molecule: non-coding RNA, 413 nt
Organism: Coffea arabica (coffee)
Lineage: Eukaryota; Viridiplantae; Streptophyta; Magnoliopsida; Gentianales; Rubiaceae
Source: RefSeq, a predicted model, not a curated record